Molecule: ribosomal RNA, 480 nt
Filed under: uncultured bacterium
Lineage: Bacteria
Description: SSU rRNA
Rfam family: Bacterial small subunit ribosomal RNA
Source: RNAcentral
AGAAUGAACGUUGGCGGCGUGGAUUAGGCAUGCAAGUCGAACGGGUUCGGCUUCGGUCGGACCAGUGGCGGAAGGGUGAGUAAGGCGACGGCAACCAACCCCGAGGUUGGGUAUAGCCGCGGGAAACUGCGGGUAAUCCCCAGCGAUGUGAAGACGUCGACAUCGACGUUUCACCAAAGGCGCAAGCCGCCUUGGGACGGGCCGUCGUGGUAUUAAGUAGUUGGCGGGGUAACGGCCCACCAAGCCGAUGAUGCCUACCGGGCGUGCGAGCGUGGCCCGGCACACUGGGACUGAGACACUGCCCAGACUCUUACGGGAGGCUGCAGUCGAGAAUCUUCGGCAAUGGGCGCAAGCCUGACCGAGCGACGCCGCGUGGAGGAUGAAGGCCUUCGGGUUGUAAACUCCUGUCGAGGGGGAGGAAGGGGCAACCGUUGACCGAUCCCUGGAGGAAGCACGGGCUAAGUUCGUGCCAGCAGCCGC